CAGCAAGUUGAAGUUAUGAGGAUCCGCACAAACUUCAAAGUUGAAGAAUACUAUGGAGCUAAGGGGGUUGACGAGUGGAGUGUAGAACAUUAGGAGAACGAAAGAAAAAAGAAUGAUGUGAUAGUUAUGACCCUCCAUAUACUUUGGGAUGCUAUCAUUGCUAUGAGUAAAGCAUUCCUCAGUCUUGAUAUGGUUUGGAAACCAUUCUUACACAAAUAUAUUGAAGAUUUCCAUCACAGGUCUGCAAACUAUCCAAAGAUACUGGAAUGACGGCUUCCCCUGUAAUAUUGAAAGG
Molecule: long non-coding RNA, 295 nt
Organism: Papaver somniferum (opium poppy)
Lineage: Eukaryota; Viridiplantae; Streptophyta; Magnoliopsida; Ranunculales; Papaveraceae
Exons: 3
Source: RefSeq, a predicted model, not a curated record